This 423-nucleotide ribosomal RNA is filed under the name uncultured bacterium. RNAcentral's name for it is "partial 16S ribosomal RNA". It matches the Rfam family "Bacterial small subunit ribosomal RNA", at positions 359 to 775 of the family's 1533-position model. The record is from RNAcentral.
GAAUAUUGGACAAUGGGCGAAAGCCUGAUCCAGCCAUGCCGCGUGUGUGAAGGAGGUCUUCGGAUUGUAAAGCACUUUAAGUUGGGAGGAAGGGCAGUAAGCGAAUACCUUGCUGUUUUGACGUUACCGACAGAAUAAGCACCGGCUCACUCUGUGCCAGCAGCCGCGGUAAUCCAUAGGGUGCAAGAUUUAAGCGGAAUUACUGGGCGUAAAGCGCGCGUAGGUGGUGCGUUGAGUUGGAUGUGAAAUCCCCGGGCUCAACCUGGGAACUGCAUCCAAAACUGGCGAGCUAGAGUAGGUCAGAGGGUGGUGGAAUUUCCUGUGUAGCGGUGAAAUGCGUAGAUAUAGGAAGGAACACCAGUGGCGAAGGCGACACCUGGGCUCAUACCGACACUGAGGUGCGAAAGUGUGGGGAGCAAACAG